Molecule: ribosomal RNA, 700 nt
Filed under: uncultured beta proteobacterium
Lineage: Bacteria; Pseudomonadati; Pseudomonadota; Betaproteobacteria
Description: bacterial SSU rRNA
Rfam family: Bacterial small subunit ribosomal RNA
Source: RNAcentral
GCAACCCCUCGAGAGUGGCGAACGGGUGAGUAAUAUAUCGGAACGUGCCCAGUCGUGGGGGAUAACGUAGCGAAAGUUACGCUAAUACCGCAUACGAUCUACGGAUGAAAGCGGGGGACCGUAAGGCCUCGCGCGAUUGGAGCGGCCGAUAUCAGAUUAGGUAGUUGGUGGGGUAAAGGCUCACCAAGCCAACGAUCUGUAGCUGGUCUGAGAGGACGACCAGCCACACUGGAACUGAGACACGGUCCAGACUCCUACGGGAGGCAGCAGUGGGGAAUUUUGGACAAUGGACGCAAGUCUGAUCCAGCCAUUCCGCGUGCAGGAUGAAGGCCCUCGGGUUGUAAACUGCUUUUGUACGGAACGAAAAGGUCUCUAUUAAUACUGGGGGCUCAUGACGGUACCGUAAGAAUAAGCACCGGCUAACUACGUGCCAACAGCCGCGGUAAUACGUAGGGUGCAAGCGUUAAUCGGAAUUACUGGGCGUAAAGCGUGCGCAGGCGGUUAUGUAAGACAGAGGUGAAAUCCCCGGGCUCAACCUGGGAACUGCCUUUGUGACUGCAUAGCUAGAGUACGGUAGAGGGGGAUGGAAUUCCGCGUGUAGCAGUGAAAUGCGUAGAUAUGCGGAGGAACACCGAUGGCGAAGGCAAUCCCCUGGACCUGUACUGACGCUCAUGCACGAAAGCGUGGGGAGCAAACAGGA